GAUGCAACACUGUUAUAUAACACCGUGUCCUCGGUCUAAGGAAAUGCAACAUCUGCCGUGUGGAAAUGCUGUAUCACUGUAUCCAGGAAGCGAUUGUAUAACUGUUUGUAUAACUGAAGAUUAUUUAAAGGACUGACCUAAGGGCAUGUGAGUUGCAAUGACUUCCUGCGCAAUGAUGAAGAUGACUGGAUUCCUGCUAGGGGCAUCUUUUGGCCUUAGCAUGGCCUACCACAUUUCUUCAUAUACUGUUACUGCAGAGGGUCCAAAGAGAU
Molecule: long non-coding RNA, 272 nt
Organism: Penaeus monodon (black tiger shrimp)
Lineage: Eukaryota; Metazoa; Arthropoda; Malacostraca; Decapoda; Penaeidae
Exons: 3
Source: RefSeq, a predicted model, not a curated record